Long non-coding RNA from Rosa rugosa (rugosa rose), 1312 nucleotides. RefSeq lists it as uncharacterized. Lineage: Eukaryota; Viridiplantae; Streptophyta; Magnoliopsida; Rosales; Rosaceae. The record is from RefSeq and is a predicted model, not a curated record. The transcript has 3 exons.
ACAAAAUAAAAAGAACCAAAGCCCCGCGCCUUGACACCUAUUAUCUCUCACUUGCACAAAAUAACACUUCAACAAAAUAACAGAUGAUCUUUUCUUCGAGCAUCUCUCCUCAAAACAUCAUCUCUUCUCGCGUUUUACUGUCCCUUUUCCUAGAUCGCUCUUCUCUCCCUAUCGUCUUCACAAUCCCUUCCUCCAUCUACAUCAUGAUCUUAGCCUACACACAUCACCGCCGAGAUUAGGGUUCUAUUAUCUCAACUCAGCCAUCACUCAAUUCCAUUUGUGAAGAAAUAGGGUUCUGCGUAUUGGGAAGAAGGAGGAGUUUCUUCAAUCCGCUGAAGAUUAGGGUUCUUCGAUCUCUAGGUUUACAACGUCAAUUUGGGGAUUCGUGGGCUACUCGAUUUGGGGUUUUUACGGCUCUUCGUCCUCUCUUCGCAAUCGCACUCGUCGUCUUGUUCAUUGCUUCUGGUAACUACUCCUCUUAAAUUUUUUCACCAUUUAAUUCGUUUUACUUGGGGAAUUCUGGAGUAGAAUGAUAGAUCUGGAUCUGGUAACCUCUUGCUUUGGAGGAGCCUGCCCCCGCCGCCUUGGAACUUACUGAAUCCUUCGUGACUGAGCCAGCCCCAAAACGCGAGGAGAUUUUCGCUGUUGUUAUGAUUGGAGGGCGCCAACAGAGAGAAAACGAGGAGGUGAAAAAAAGCAGAGAGAGAAGAGAACGUACUGCAGAAGAGGGAAGAAGGGAAAGAGGAAUCGAGAGGAGAUGGCGAUAUCAAGGAGGUAAUGGAAGAGACGAGUCUUGCAUGUAAUGAAAUGCUGAGGUAGCUAAUAACACCACCACACAUCUAACACUUUUAGGAAUUGUAACCUGUUGAAAACAAAUCCUAUACAGGGAAGCAGGCAAGUACUUUUUUACUGUUGUUUUCUUUCUUAUUGAUAUUAUGUUUUCCAUUACAAGGAGUCUCUUGGUUCAAAAUGUGGUCUGAAGGUUCAUCUUUCUCAAAUGUAUUUAUAUGCCUUGCACAAUUAUUCACACAAUGGUCUGUUGUUCUAUUUCCUAAUUCCAGAUUUGUUCCUACAUUAUUGCUUUUUACUAAAUUGAUAUCUGGACCUAUGGAAUUCAUCCUUAGAGUCAUGAAUAUCAGCUCUACUUCACUACAUGGAAUAGACCAUUCUGGUUGCAUGGGAUUUCACUACAGGUUCUCGAUUUAAAAGUGGACCACAACUUCAUCUUACUGGUAAAGCACAAAUAAUCAUCCCGAUUGUAAUCAUCCACCACAAGAGUUUAGCCACUUACUCAAGGAUGUCCUAGUAGCAA